Molecule: long non-coding RNA, 2445 nt
Organism: Dama dama (fallow deer)
Lineage: Eukaryota; Metazoa; Chordata; Mammalia; Artiodactyla; Cervidae
Exons: 5
Source: RefSeq, a predicted model, not a curated record
UCGAGCUUUCUCCAUGGCGUCACUUGUUUCGCUGAUCAUGGACAAGGUCUUGGAAGUUCCUGCGCAGGUUUUGGCUGAACUUCUCACACAGAAGGUUUCAUCCCGCACCACUGUAUGGAGGCCGGAUUUUGGCAACAAAUUGGGCGUUCAAUAUAGGGUUGACUUAGGGGCAGCCCCACGGGGGUCCCCUGGUUUGACCAGACUCUCCGAGGUCAUUCCUCCAUGCCAGCCUCUUUUGAGAAGACAGAGGGUUGGAAGAUUCCUUCAGCGGCCAGGUUGCCUGGGACCCUUAUCAAGAAGGCUGAGCUCAUCAUACCAGCCUAUACCAGCCUGAAUUUUUCUGCUCCAAAGAAUUAUUUGGAGGAAGGAGAAAGCAUCGGGGACAUGGAGACACCUUGGCCAGCAUCUGGAGGCCAAGAAUCCCGGCGUCUUUCCUGAGGUUCAGCAAUAGCCUUUCAUCUUGGGGGCUCGUCUGGGAUUCUUCAGGACAAGAUGGGCCUGAUAACCUAUGUGAGCCUACUUAUGCUGACUCCAAAAAUCCUGAGUCUGCCGUCUGAUCCUCAAGACAACGCCUUCCUGUCCUGGGCUCACUCCUAUGCUGCAUUCCACAAUCGGUCUAACUGCUGGGUUUGUGGCGCGCUCCCCUCUUCAUCAGUGGAAGGCUUCCCGUGGUGGACAUCUCCACUUCAAGGAAAAGACUUUCUCCAAGUCUGCGAAUACCUUCGACAACAAUCAUAUGUGAUGCCUCUUCUUAAACUGAUGACGUCUAACAACCCUAUAAUGGACUGGUGCAACACGUUGUUCUUUAACUAUGGACACAAUGUGACGUUUAAUUUUGAUUAUACAUUGUCUCGGUUCAAUGACUAUUUUGCUACACACAAGGCAAAUAGGUCUAAAUCUAAUGGUUUUUUACCUGAUGUUUAUCAAAUAUGGGAUGAGGUUAUAUGGUUAACUCCUGAAAAAGGACGUCUAAUAUCUACUGCCCCUAUUUGCUGGGAACAAAUAGAGCCAUCCCCAGAAUUUAGUCAACAACUUAAAUUAUAGUGAUUGGAAACCCUUGGGAUUUUUGCCUCAGGAAAUAUGCAAUGUAAUCAUUCCCGUGUUUUCCAACCCCAAUUCAGGUCCUCCCUUUGUCUGGCCAGGCACUGAUUGGGACUGGAUAUCUAUGUCAUGCUGGCUUGCUCCAAACGGGACUUAUUGGACAUGUGGCUCUUACCUGUGGGCAUGGCUUCCCCCUGGGUGGACAGGGAGAUGCACCCUAGGUCUAGCCUUUACUCACGGCUUUAUAUUUUCAGAGCUUCCAGAGAAGCCUGCUAAUUUACCCCACCUUACAACUCGGUGGGCACGGUCUGUAUUUCACUGGUAUGGUUAUUUGGCUGCAGUGUUUGUCCCCUCUUUGGGAACUACAGAUGUUAUGCUACGAGUGGAUGGUUUGACUAAUUGUACUCAACAGGCAUUACAAGGUUCUCAGAAAGCUAGUUCAGCUCUUAAUGCUGAACAAGCACAGAUUAGAAAGGUGGUUUUACAAAACAGAUUGGCUUUAGAUAUCUGACAGCCGCGCAAGGAGGAACUUGUGCCAUUCUUCAUACCCAGUGCUGUGCGUAUAUACCUGAGAUGAGCACUAAUGUCACUCACUUUACUAAACACAUGACCAAGAUGACUGGGGCUAGGGAUACUCCCGAAGCCUCAAUUGCUUCACUUUGGGAGACGUUAACUACUUCCCCAGGGUGGAAAGCUAUCUUAAUUACAAUAAUUCUGAUUGUUCUAUUUUUGUUGUUUGCUCCCUGCAUCUGUAACUGUGUCAUUGGAUUUGUUUCUAGUCCAUGAAGGCUUUUAAGUUAGAAAUGGUUGUCCAAGCUCCUAGGAGUGCCACAGCCUCUUUCAAAUAUUACUUGGGACCCCUGGAUGAGAGACCCUCAAUACGAGGGUUAGGAGAAUAUGUUGCCUCAACAACUUAGGGACCACGCCCCUAAACAGCAGGAAGUAGUUAUGGAACGAAAACGGCGCCCCUUUCCCUUGGCAACAUAAUUCUCCUAAAAGCAAAGGGGGGAUGAGAGAGUCAAUUCCUCGGCAGGUUGAUAGGAAGUCCAGGGGUCCCCAAGGAGAGAGGGGUCUGGAAUUCUCAAGGAGGAAGAAAGGACAAACUUUUUUUCCCUCUACAUUCCUUAGGAUUAUAUAACAAUAAUGUAUCCUACUUGAGGACAGUCUCUGGAAAAAAAACCUUCUGGCUAAUCCUGUUAUCUCAAAAUGUAAAUUAUGGCAGUAGGUCUGGUGAGGUCUUUACAAACUCGAGACAUUCUUUUGAUUGACUGUAAUAACUAAUUUGAGAGUAUAUGACUCCAUGGCUAAUGCUAGCAAGGGGGUACUCUUUCUGCCCCCUUCUGAUGUCUAUGUCGGAAGCUUCCUUUAUCCCUUUGAUACUUUAAUAAACUUUAUUACACAAAA